RNAcentral lists this ribosomal RNA (497 nucleotides) under uncultured bacterium. Its description in RNAcentral is "partial 16S ribosomal RNA". It matches the Rfam family "Bacterial small subunit ribosomal RNA", at positions 28 to 507 of the family's 1533-position model. The record is from RNAcentral.
GAUGAACGCUGGCGGCGUGCCUAAUACAUGCAAGUCGAGCGAACGGACGAGAAGCUUGCUUCUCUGAUGUUAGCGGCGGACGGGUGAGUAACACGUGGAUAACCUACCUAUAAGACUGGGAUAACUUCGGGAAACCGGAGCUAAUACCGGAUGAUAUUUUGAACCGCAUGGUUCAAAAGUGAAAGACGGUCUUGCUGUCACUUAUAGAUGGAUCCGCGCUGCAUUAGCUAGUUGGUAAGGUAACGGCUUACCAAGGCAACGAUGCAUAGCCGACCUGAGAGGGUGAUCGGCCACACUGGAACUGAGACACGGUCCAGACUCCUACGGGAGGCAGCAGUAGGGAAUCUUCCGCAAUGGGCGAAAGCCUGGCGGAGCAACGCCGCGUGAGUGAUGAAGGUCUUCGGAUCGUAAAACUCUGUUAUUAGGGAAGAACAUAUGUGUAAGUAACUGUGCACAUCUUGACGGUACCUAAUCAGAAAGCCACGGCUGACUACGUG